RNAcentral lists this ribosomal RNA (305 nucleotides) under uncultured bacterium. RNAcentral describes it as "bacterial SSU rRNA". It matches the Rfam family "Bacterial small subunit ribosomal RNA", at positions 338 to 641 of the family's 1533-position model. The record is from RNAcentral.
CCUACGGGAGGCAGCAGUGAGGAAUAUUGGUCAAUGGGCGGGAGCCUGAACCAGCCAAGUCGCGUGAAGGAAGAAGGUACUUAGUAUUGUAAACUUCUUUUGUCGGGGAACAAAGGCGGAGACGCGUCUCCGGAUGAGUGUACCCGAAGAAAAAGCAUCGGCUAACUCCGUGCCAGCAGCCGCGGUAAUACGGAGGAUGCGAGCGUUAUCCGGAUUUAUUGGGUUUAAAGGGUGCGUAGGCGGUUUUUUAAGUUAGUGGUUAAACGUCGGGGCUUCACCUUGAUUUGCCAUUAAUACUGUAGGAC